Molecule: ribosomal RNA, 1505 nt
Filed under: metagenome
Description: bacterial SSU rRNA
Rfam family: Bacterial small subunit ribosomal RNA
Source: RNAcentral
AGAGUUUGAUCAUGGCUCAGGACGAACGCUGGCGGCGUGCUUAACACAUGCAAGUCGAACGAGACGAUUGAAAGCUUGCUUUUGAAAGUCGAGUGGCAAACGGGUGAGUAACGCGUAGACAACCUGCCGUAAAGAUGGGGGCAACAGUCCGAAAGGACUGCUAAUACCGAAUGUUGUAAAUCUUCUGCAUGGGAGACUUACUAAAGGUGGCCUCUACUUGUAAGCUAUCGCUUUACGAUGGGUCUGCGUCUGAUUAGCUGGUUGGUGGGGUAACGGCCUACCAAGGCAACGAUCAGUAGCCGGUCUGAGAGGAUGAACGGCCACAUUGGAACUGGGACACGGUCCAGACUCCUACGGGAGGCAGCAGUGGGGAAUCUUCCGCAAUGGGCGCAAGCCUGACGGAGCAACGCCGCGUGAGUGAAGAAGGGUUUCGACUCGUAAAGCUCUGUUGUCGGGGACGAACGUGGAGACGGCGAAUAGCCGUUUCCAAUGACGGUACCUGACGAGGAAGCCACGGCUAACUACGUGCCAGCAGCCGCGGUAAUACGUAGGUGGCGAGCGUUGUCCGGAAUUAUUGGGCGUAAAGGGAGCGCAGGCGGGAAGGUAAGUCUAUCUUAAAAGUGCGGGGCUCAACCCCGUGAGGGGAUGGAAACUAUCUUUCUUGAGUGCAGGAGAGGAAAGCGGAAUUCCUAGUGUAGCGGUGAAAUGCGUAGAUAUUAGGAGGAACACCAGUGGCGAAGGCGGCUUUCUGGACUGUAACUGACGCUGAGGCUCGAAAGCGUGGGGAGCGAACAGGAUUAGAUACCCUGGUAGUCCGCACGGUAAACGAUGGAUGCCCGCUGUUGGUCUGAACAGGUCAGCGGCCAAGCGAAAGCAUUAAGCAUCCCACCUGGGGAGUACGCCGGCAACGGUGAAACUCAAAGGAAUUGACGGGGGCCCGCACAAGCGGAGGAACAUGUGGUUUAAUUCGAUGAUACGCGAGGAACCUUACCCGGGCUUGAAUUGCAGAGGAAGGAUUUGGAGACAAUGACGCCCUUCGGGGUCUCUGUGAAGGUGCUGCAUGGUUGUCGUCAGCUCGUGCCGUGAGGUGUCGGCUUAAGUGCCAUAACGAGCGCAACCCCUCUCCUUAGUUGCCAUCAGGUUAAGCUGGGCACUCUGGGGACACUGCCACCGUAAGGUGUGAGGAAGGUGGGGAUGACGUCAAAUCAGCACGGCCCUUACGUCCGGGGCUACACACGUGUUACAAUGGCAGGUACAGAGAGACGGUUGUACGUAAGUACGAUCAAAUCCUUAAAGCCUGUCUCAGUUCGGACUGGGGUCUGCAACCCGACCCCACGAAGCUGGAUUCGCUAGUAAUCGCGCAUCAGCCAUGGCGCGGUGAAUACGUUCCCGGGCCUUGUACACACCGCCCGUCAAGCCAUGAAAGCCGGGGGCGCCUAAAGUCCGUGACCGUAAGGAGCGGCCUAGGGCGAAACUGGUAAUUGGGGCUAAGUCGUAACAAGGUA